Molecule: long non-coding RNA, 358 nt
Filed under: Elaeis guineensis (African oil palm)
Lineage: Eukaryota; Viridiplantae; Streptophyta; Magnoliopsida; Arecales; Arecaceae
Description: long non-coding RNA (EGUI_LNC062602)
Source: RNAcentral
CAUUCCAAAGGUCUUGCAUAAGCAUUUUGCCCGCAUAUCAUGUCCUCAUGGUUAUAGAAACCACUGGUGAUCAUAGCUAGGGUGCUAUGUGCCAGGGGGAGAAUUUGAAUUCUCUGUACGCCUUUGGGCCAACCAUGUAGCGGGCUUUGACUGGUUGACGAAGACUUCGUGACGAGUUCUGAUUGAUAAGUCUGCCAUGUUGGCUAAGAUGAAUUUUGGGACGUAUCACGUACAAUAGAUUAUGAGAAUUAAGAAAGAGAGAUAAAUAGUCAUUAAGAUAAGAAAAUAAAAAAUGUUUAAGAGGAAGAGUUAUGUUGCACCACUGGUAGAUUUUUUUUUUGUUGUCGUCGGAGGGGAG